AUGGCGAUCUGGGAGGAGCUGCACUUCGUGCUGGUGCCGCUGGUGGCGCAGGGCCACAUCAUCCCCAUGGUGGACGUGGCGCGCCUCGUCGCCGCGCGCGGCCCGCGGGUCACCGUGGUCACCACGCCCGUCAACGCCGCGCGCAACAGGGCCACCGUCGACGGCGCCAGGAGGGCCGGUCUCUCCGUCGAGUUCUUCCAGGCCAUAUGGAAGAUCGCCGAGCCGCUGGAGGAGUACCUCCGGGCGCUACCGCGCCGGCCGGUCUGCCUCGUCACCGACGCGUGCAACCCGUGGACGGCGCCGGUGUGCGAACGUCUCGGCAUCCCCAGGCUGGUGAUGCACUGCCCCUCCGUCUACUUCCAGCUCGCCGUGCACCGCCUGUCCAGCCACGGCGUGUACGACCGCGUCGGGGAAGACGUGAUGGCGCCGUUCGAGGUGCCGGACUUCCCGGUGCGGGCCGCCGGCAACAUGGCCACGCUCCGGGGCUUCUUCCAGUACCCCGGCGUGGAGAAGGAGCACCGUGAAGCGCUCGAUGCCGAGGCCACCGCCGACGGCCUGCUGUUCAACACGUUCCGCGGCAUCGAGGGCGCCUUCGUCGACGCGUACGCGGCGGCCCUCGGCAAGAGGACGUGGACCGUCGGGCCGACCUGCGCCUCCAGCAGCAUGGCCGACGACGCCGACGCCAAGGCCGGCCGCGGCAACCGCGCCGACGUCGACGCCGGGCACAUCGUCACGUGGCUCGACGCCCGGCCGCCCGCGUCCGUGCUGUACGUCAGCUUCGGCAGCAUCUCGCAGCUGACGGCUAAGCAGCUCGCCGGGCUCGCGCGCGGCCUCGAGGCGUCCGGGCGGGCGUUCGUGUGGGCCAUCAAGGAGGCCAAGGCGGACGCCGCGGUGACCAUCCUCUCGCACCCCGCGGUGAGCGGCUUCCUCACGCACUGCGGCUGGAACGCGACGCUGGAGGCCGUCUCCUACGGCGUGCCGGCUCUGACGUGGCCCACCAUCGCCGACCAGUUCUGCAGCGAGCAGCUGCUCGUGGACGUGCUCGGCGUGGGCGUCAGGUCCGGCGUCAAGAUCCCCGCCAUGUACCUCCCGAAAGAGGCCGAGGGGGUUCAGGUGACGAGCGGCGACGUGGAGAAGGCGAUCGCGGAGUUGAUGGGCGGCGGGGCGGAGGGGGAGGCGAGGAGGGUCAGGGCCAACGAGGUCGCCGCGGAGGCGAGGGCGGCCAUGGAGGAAGGCGGGUCGUCGCACUCCGACCUGACGGACAUGAUCCGCUAUGUCACGAAGCUGUCGAAGCAGAGAAGCCAAGGGAGGGACGCGAGCUCGACGGCCCCGCCUUCCGAGCUCGGUGAGAAGAACGAACAGGAUGCUGUGCUGUCGGUGCAAAUGGCGCAAGAUAGCAUUUAG
RNAcentral lists this ribosomal RNA (1404 nucleotides) under Triticum aestivum (bread wheat). RNAcentral describes it as "partial small subunit ribosomal RNA". Lineage: Eukaryota; Viridiplantae; Streptophyta; Magnoliopsida; Poales; Poaceae. The record is from RNAcentral.